This 21-nucleotide microRNA is filed under the name Physcomitrium patens. Its description in RNAcentral is "ppt-miR1038-3p". The record is from miRBase by way of RNAcentral. Lineage: Eukaryota; Viridiplantae; Streptophyta; Bryopsida; Funariales; Funariaceae.
CAUGGUGGAAUCGCAUCCAGG